AGAGUUCUGGGCCGCACGCGCGCUACACUGACUGAGCCAGCGAGUCUUGCCUUGGCCGAGAGGUCCGGGAAAUCUUGUGAAACUCAGUCGUGCUGGGGAUAGAGCAUUGUAAUUUUUGCUCUUCAACGAGGAAUUCCUAGUAAGCGCAAGUCAUCAGCUUGCGUUGAUUACGUCCCUGCCCUUUGUACACACCGCCCGUCGCUACUACCGAUUGAAUGGUUUGGUGAGGCUUCCGGAUUGACCUAAGAACGAGGGCGACCUUGAUCUGGGGUUGAAAAGCUAGUCAAACCUAAUCAUUUAGAGGAAGUAAAAGUCGUAACAAGGUUUCCGUAGGUGAACCUGCGGAAGGAUCAUUAAAAAUUUAUUUGAUUACACGAUUAUGUUUAACAACGCAACCAAACAACUUAAUUAUGUCAACAACAACCAAAAUCAAAACUUUCAACAACGGAUCUCUUGGUUCUCGCAUCGAUGAAGAACGCAGCGAAAUGCGAUAAGUAAUAUGAAUUGCAGAUUUUCGUGAAUCAUCGAAUCUUUGAACGCACAUUGCACCUUGUGGUAUUCCACAAGGUAUGCCUGUUUGAGCGUCAUUUCUCCCUCAACCUUCUGGGUUGGCGUUGAAUGGCACUAGCUCAGUCCAUUCGAAAUGUAUUUUUACCAUGUUGUUAUUUUCUAAUUUAGUAGUGACAACAACUAAAAACACAUUUUCCUCAAAUCAGGUAGGACUACCCGCUGAACUUAAGCAUAUCAAUAAGCGGAGGAAAAGAAACCCACAGGGAUGGCCUCAUUACGGCGAGUGAACGGCAAAACUCAAAUUGGAAUCUCAUCUUCAGGCGCGAGUUGUAAUUUGAAACUUUUUUGAAUAACCCCUGUCAAUUCCUUGGAAAGGAGUCCC
This 892-nucleotide ribosomal RNA is filed under the name Saccharomycetales sp. LM377. RNAcentral describes it as "eukaryotic LSU rRNA". The stretch from base 1 to 356 matches the Rfam family "Eukaryotic small subunit ribosomal RNA", at positions 1475 to 1831 of the family's 1831-position model. The record is from RNAcentral. Lineage: Eukaryota; Fungi; Ascomycota; Saccharomycetes; Saccharomycetales.